Molecule: ribosomal RNA, 453 nt
Filed under: uncultured bacterium
Lineage: Bacteria
Description: bacterial SSU rRNA
Rfam family: Bacterial small subunit ribosomal RNA
Source: RNAcentral
UACGGGAGGCAGCAGUGGGGAAUAUUGCACAAUGGGCGCAAGCCUGAUGCAGCCAUGCCGCGUGUAUGAAAAAGGCCUUCGGGUUGUAAAGUACUUUCAGUCGUGAGGAAGGUGUUAAGGUUAAUAACCUUAGCAAUUGACGUUAGCGACAGAAGAAGCACCGGCUAACUCCGUGCCAGCAGCCGCGGUAAUACGGAGGGUGCGAGCGUUAAUCGGAAUUACUGGGCGUAAAGGGCACGCAGGAGGUUAAUUAAGUUGGAUGUGAAAUCCCCGGGCUUAACCUGGGAAUGGCAUUCAAGACUGGUUAGCUAGAGUCUUGUAGAGGGGGUAGAAUUCCAUGUGUAGCGGUGAAAUGCGUAGAGAUGUGGAGGAAUACCGGUGGCGAAGGCGGCCCCUGGACAAAGACUGACGCUCAUGUGCGAAAGCGUGGGGAGCAAACAGGGAUUAGAUACC